CGUCGAAUGCUCGGUCGGUGAUCAUGAGCGGUAACUCGUGAUCGCCGUGGGGCAGGUCGAGGCCGUCCUCGACGUC
RNAcentral lists this transfer RNA (76 nucleotides) under Plantactinospora mayteni. RNAcentral describes it as "tRNA-Thr". The record is from RNAcentral. Lineage: Bacteria; Bacillati; Actinomycetota; Actinomycetes; Micromonosporales; Micromonosporaceae.